GUAUUGUAUGAAAGGAGAGAAGCUUAGCACUACCCUUGACAAGGAUAGAAGAGGCCCUUGGCCCUAACAACCCAUAUAAGGUUAAGGCAUUGCCAACUACUUUGUGGUAUUUAACCUCUUUUUUUA
Small nuclear RNA from Arvicola amphibius (Eurasian water vole), 126 nucleotides. Lineage: Eukaryota; Metazoa; Chordata; Mammalia; Rodentia; Cricetidae. The record is from RefSeq and is a predicted model, not a curated record.